AACGUAGGAGGCGAGCGUUAUCCGGAUUUACUGGGCGUAAAGCGCGUGUAGGCGGUUUCAUAAGUCGUGCGUGAAAGCUCCCUGGCUCAACCGGGAGAGGUCGUGCGAUACUGCGAAACUUGAGUCAGACAGAGGCAAGUAGAAUUCCGGGUGUAGUGGUGAAAUGCGUAGAUAUCCGGAGGAAUACCAGUGGCGCAAGCGGCGCUCUGGGUCGAGCCUGACACUGAGACGCGAAGGCAUGGGGAGCGAACGGG
Molecule: ribosomal RNA, 254 nt
Filed under: uncultured bacterium
Lineage: Bacteria
Description: partial 16S ribosomal RNA
Rfam family: Bacterial small subunit ribosomal RNA
Source: RNAcentral